GUUUAUGAGUUUUCUUGAAUUGUUGUAAUCAGAUGAAAAUAGGAGAGGGGACAGAGAAGUUAUCUUCUAUGGUCACCUCUCCUUGUGAUCCACUGGGGGAUGAGUUAUUGCAAGGGCAGUGGUCCAGGGAAGAGACGGAUCACAAGGGUAUUGAAAAGGGAUUAGAUUUAUAUGGAAGCGUGGAUGAGAGUGAAUUUAUGGACAGUAUGGAUAUGGGUGAGGAGUGGAUUGGGA
Molecule: unclassified non-coding RNA, 234 nt
Filed under: Hevea brasiliensis (rubber tree)
Lineage: Eukaryota; Viridiplantae; Streptophyta; Magnoliopsida; Malpighiales; Euphorbiaceae
Source: RNAcentral